GACGAACGCUGGCGGUAUGCUUAACACAUGCAAGUCGAACGAGAAGUUUUUUAUUGAACCUUCGGGGGAUAUAAGAGACAGACAGUGGCGAACGGGUGAGUAACGCGUGGGCAACCUACCUAUCGGAGCGGGAUAGCCUCGAGAAAUCGGGAGUAAAACCGCAUAACACGGAUAUAUCGCAUGAUGAAUCCGUCAAAACUCCGGUGCCGAUAGAUGGGCCCGCGUCUGAUUAGCUAGUUGGUAAGGUAAGGGCUUACCAAGGCAACGAUCAGUAGCCGGUCUGAGAGGGCGAACGGCCACACUGGAACUGAGACACGGUCCAGACUCCUACGGGAGGCAGCAGUGGGGAAUAUUGCGCAAUGGGGGCAACCCUGACGCAGCAAUACCGCGU
RNAcentral lists this ribosomal RNA (391 nucleotides) under Pseudoramibacter alactolyticus. RNAcentral's name for it is "bacterial SSU rRNA". It matches the Rfam family "Bacterial small subunit ribosomal RNA", at positions 28 to 402 of the family's 1533-position model. Lineage: Bacteria; Bacillati; Bacillota; Clostridia; Eubacteriales; Eubacteriaceae. The record is from RNAcentral.